CAGAUAUCUCCUUUUUAUGGAGGUUGAAGGCAUCCAAAGCCAUCUAGAAAGGAGAAAGAAAAUACCUGGGCCUGCUCUGCAGAGGACUUAUGUGACACUAUAGAUAUUUCCCAAAAUACCAGUGGAGGACUUUGAGAAGUGGCCCAAACCACUGAAGCUGGAAUGAGUUAGGGGAUUUGUAUUGCAUUUAUUGAUAACAUUGUUAGAAAUUUGAAGAGACAGCCAAAGAAGAAAGGAUAUUCACUUAUACUCCCCAGUUUAAAGAAGCACUUACUGUAGCAGUCUGGAUAGGCUAGGAUACACAAUGGAAAACUAAAUCUCAAGACCUCAAAAUAACAAGAGUAAAUGCCGUUUUGUCAAUGAAAGAGGGAUGCUUGCGAUGAUGUGAAGGAUGUCUGAGAAGAGGUGUAUUUCUGAAGGAAAGAAAGAACACAGCAUACUCCUUGGAUAAAUCUCAUUUUCUUCCUUGUUAAGCCUUUUUUUCCCAUUGCAUUCUCUACAAACCCCUGGCCCACUCUUUCCUCCUCUUUCUACUUCCUUCCUUUCUCACCUGUACCCCAAACUAUAUUUGUAAACUCUUGCAGUGUUACUUUUGCACAGGGCUUGAAAUAUUUAACACCUUUGUUUUUAAUACAUGAGAAAAAUAAGAUCUAUAGGAAAGGAAACAACUUAACCAGUUUGAACAGGUAAUUGAUAGACUACAGUCCUCUCUCAAAUGUUUACUAAUGACACAUAUGCAUGGAGAUGGGAAUGUAUACAUACACACACACACAUACACACACACACAAACACACGUAUUGACUGGUUGAAACAUGACAGUUCUCCAGUACCUGGGAAUUAAAGGAGGGUGCAUUAGCCAUCCCUACCUUUACCUCAAUAUCCAUUUUAGGAAGGAUUAGAAAUUAAUUUACAUGAUUGAACAUACCAAGGGCUUUGAAAGCAGAAAAAUAUGAAAUUCAGAUUUUUCACUUCUUCAUCCUGGAGGUUCAGUUUUCCCAACACUAAAAUGAGGAUAGUAACACCAAACAUGGGAAUUGUUGAAGUGAUCAGUGAAAUAGAUGCUGUAUUAUAGGCCUAGCUCAGUUUAUGCUCUUAUCUUAAGAUUCUCUCUCUGGAAACCAAACCACCCCUGGAAUGGGCUCUGGUGGUCCUUACAUGAACAUAAGGCAUGCAUAACCCCUUUGAUAUUGUGAGUGUUUCUCUGCAUAUGAGCAUUCUUUUCUUCAGGGAAAAGUUCCUAACUUUUAUUAGAUUCUCAAAGUUGUCUGUAUUUCCUAUUAUUUUAAGAAAACUGACUUAAAUAGAAGGUGUAAUUGCGAAUGUUAACAAUAAUAAUUACAAACACCAUAACAUUACUAAUAUUUCACUACAAACAAAUAAUAAUAGUAUUAUUAUUAAUAUUCAAUUAUCUGAACAUGAGCCAAAAUUGGUGGAUGAAUCACAUUUAAAUCAUCGGGUGCUUUGCUUUCACCAGGUAAAAAGUUCCAAUUUCUUCUUAUUACAUUAAAUCUUAAGAACCUAUUUCACUCUUAUCCACAAAAAGGAACUCAUUUCCCCUAGAAAGGCAGGCUAAUGAGGUCUGCUUAAUUUAUAGCUGGGUCCAUUUAUGUGGUGGUUUCAUUAACAAAGACAUCUAUUUAAUUCAAUAGAUUCCUACACGUGGUACACAUAGAAGACACUACUACCCCCAUUCACUCCCCAUCCAUUCAUUACCCUAAUGCUUCUGACACACACAAACAAACCUUGUUUUACAAAUUGCUUAGAGAUUUGAUUAUUGCAUCAUGCAUUUUGUUGUAACAAGAAAGGUGAUUUAAAAUCAUUAGUCCUAAAAUUUAGUCCUGUGUGUGCUUUGAAGUCAAGGGGAACAAUUUGUCAGCUGGUUGAUCUUUUGCUUCUAAAGCUAGUUAACUGAUCAAUCUAAUGUCAAAGGAACAGAGAUAAAUGGGAGACAUUUUACUAUGUAGAAAACGGUACAUGAAGAUAAAUCCAACACUGUGCUUUAUUUCAUCUGCAGUUAUCUUUGUAGUAAUUGCUUUGGAAGACUCAAGGUGCUCUUUGCACAUAGGGAGUGUUAGAAGCCUUUAAAUCAUCUGCAUAGACUAGUAGCUUCUUGCUGCGAAUCUUGCUUUGCUCCAUUUUUGGGUAGAGAGGACAAUAAUCUCCUACUAUAAAUGCAAAUUUGGCAAGGACCAAAGGUUGGGAUUCUUGACUAGUUGUUUAUUGAACAAUCAAUUCAUACAUUUCUGAAAUUUCUUGACAUGCUUGCAAAGUAGAUCCAUUCCUUAUUGAAUUCAUUUGAUUUUCACUAUGACCAUAAUGAUUAAACUAGUUCUGGAGUAAACGUUUCCUAAUGAACAGAUUUGGAUGUACCAGCUGUUCCAGUUAUCUCUGUACAAAACAACCCCCCCAACUAUCUGGCUUAAAACAAAAGACAUAUAUUUCAUAAUUUUGUAAAUCAAAAAUUGAAAUUGAGUGACAACAGCAAAGGAAACUUAAAAAUAUUUAGCCAUCAAUGAACUGUAGGGUCCAAUAUACCUUCAUUUACAUGUCUGGUACCUUGGAUGCAGGGAAUGAUUGGAAGGCUUGUCUAGUAGACUCAGCUGUGACUGCCAAUCAGAGUACCUCCAUUUGGCUUCUCCAACAAGAAGUAUCAGAUAAACUUCUUACUUGACAUCUCAGGGCUCUCAGAGAGUUCUAAAAGGCCAUACUGGAAGCUGCAACAGUUCUUAUCAGAGUAUCAGUUGCUACUAGGUCAAUUUAUGGACAAAUCACUCAGGUCAUCUCAGACUCAAGGUAAGAGAAACUAGACUCUACCUCAUAGAGAAGAGAAAAACACGGUAUCCAUAUCCUUCUUUAAUCUACCACUCCAGAACAUUUUGAUUCUAUACAAGACCCAUUAUCAAAUCAUUCUGCUGCCAUCACCUCAAGGUUUUAUAUGUUUUAGAAUGUUCAGCAAGACAGAUCAUGGUCAGGGUAAAAGAGCAGUAAUUGGUUAAGUAGCUAUUAUUCUGACAAGCUACAAAAGGGACUUGCAUUUUCUUAACUCUCAGAAAUUUUUUGUAUUUUUAGUAGAGACGGGGUUUCACCGAGAAACAUCUUCUUACUGAAAGUUAUGUGAACACCCAUUAGAAACCAGGGAGAGAGAUUUCAUUUCUUCCAGAGUAGGUUCAAUGCCUAGUUUUACCCUAUCAGAAUUUUGUCCGGGGCACUUAUCCAGUGACAAUUUUUUUUUCAUAAGAGCUAUUUUUCGUAAGACUGCCCAAAAUCUUAGGAAUGAUCCAAUUUUCCAGUAAUGACUAAUAUAUUAAGAUGCAUAUGAAGGCUCCUCUUUCAUUAUGAUAGUCACCCUCUCACCAUUGCCUACCGAAUACUGUCUCAACUCAUCGAACUGCCUGACUUUUCACAACGAAGCCUUUAAAGUUUAUUCAAAACUUCUCUCCUCACAUUCACCCUGUCCACCAGCGAGACCACCCCUCCCAUUGUCUCCAGAAUAAAUAUGGUGUUCCCACCUCUGGGAAAGUUAACAAUGACAAUUAUAUCAAUUGCUAAUAUUUGUUGAACACUUACAUCACUUGUUUGCUCUUUAGGCUACGUUGAUUGAUGUGAAUUGCAAUGGACACUCCGAUGCCGUUGGGAAGCACUUCUUGUCUGUUGUACUCAACACAAAGAACUGUCCACUCUUGAUAUUUUUUUUGUAAAAGCCUGUAUCAUGUCUUCCCAGACAAAUGUUCCAGGAAAGUAUGAGAUUUUGUCUCGUACUACUUGUUUUCACACACAAUGUCUCACACAGAGCAGGCACUCCACAAAUAAAUUACUAGUCCAGCAACCCUUUAUUACACAACUGUUACAUACUCCAUGCAAACAAGGAAAGCAAGUUAGAACAAAUGAAACACAACUUCAGGAAUAGUUUGUUGUUCAUUUGAAUUUGCUGAUAUUUUUAUGUUUGACUUUAGAGGAAUUUGAAUGAUUUAGGUCGGAAUUGCAUUUCUACAGCUGGCUGGCAGGACAACUUUGAACAGUCUACAGAGCUCCUAUUUUCCUCUCUCUGAAGUGAGGGUAACAACUGGUAAAAGUGUUGUAUGUCUAAAAUCACAAAAGUGAUGUAAAGCUUUACUUUUCAAAUUUUCUUGUGCUUAAAAAUCAUCUGGAAUCUUGUAAAAAGGGCUGUGGUCUAAAAGAAAGAGCCUGAGAUUCUGCAUUUCAGACAAGCUCCCAGAGAAGGUAAAUGAUGGCCCAUCGGCUACAGCUUGAGUAGCAAUGCUAUAAAGCACCUAAUAUUAAUACUCACUCUGAAAUGUUGUCCUCCCCUUCCUCCCUCCAUCUUCCUAUUUGAAAAUUCCAGGAGACAGAAAUGGAUUUUUAUUUACUCCAAACGUCCAGUCUGAUGGUCUCUCAAUUGUGUUCCUCGUUUAAAAUAGUGCGGCUCCUGCACUUUGUUUAACUCUGCUUGACAAUCAGUGAUUUGUGAUUCUGCUCUUUCCUGAGCAUGUUUAUAAAAUGACGACCUUGGGAUUGGAGUCUCUGCUGCCCAAAUGCAGGGAGCAGACUUUCUAUGGAAGAAUUGUGAAAGGUCAUUUUACCACUGUUUUUUUCUUUCUUCUUGUCUUUCUUUUUGUUUUUUUGCCUUGGCUUCAUAUGCUAAUGGAAUCAACAUCCCCAUUUGCUAUUUUAAUGUUUCUUAGAAAGCUUUAUCUCAGAAUUUCCUAUGGUUUGUAUGUGCAUUAGUCUUCUAGGUGAAUCAGAGGUUUCCUGCUAUAACACCAUGAGGUUUCUCAAUAGACCCUCUUGGCUCCUUGUUGAGUCUUUUGAAUGACUUUAUUAUAAUAAAGUUGACUUGGAGCCAGAGGAGGCAGAGCUCCAGUGUUGGGCUUUCUGUAGAAUUUUAUGGGUUUUUCUCAGAAGUUUAAUGCCAGUUUAAUGGAGUUUUAUAACUAUUAAUACUCUACCACUCCAGCUGCGCUAAGAAAUAUGUAACUAAACAAUAACUUGAAAUAGGUAAAUUCAUGAUUAAGUUGCACUAAAAACUAAUGCCUCUUGGCCAUAGUUCAUAAUUUCCAAAGGCACAUCAUUUAGAAUGAUUGGUAACUUUAGCCUUGUAACUCUUUCAAGGAGAAAGGCUGUGAGCUUAAAUCACUACAUUAAGCUGACAGUGAGGCUCAUAUUUUCUGAGCUAAAGAUAUAUUUUUAUGGCCACACAGUGGACUCUGUUUAUCACUCAUCAUAAACCAUAGGAAACCAUUUUUGUUUUAAAUUAGGUGCUUAGGCUUUUGUCCUGUAAUCUGUUUCUUUAUUUCCCCUUUUCACUUUUGUUGGUCCAUUUUCAACAACUCCCAAUCGUCUUCCGUUUCCUGAAAACAGCUCAUAUUUUAUAUCUCAGCUUCUUUAAAGGUAUUUCAUCCUAGUUGAGGUCACCUUAAUUUACACCUCAAAUUACAGUUCCAGAGCCAACUUCUUUGCUGCUGAUAUUGAGUAGUAAUCCUACUAAAGAGUCCAAUUUUAAAAUGAGGAACAGUCUUAUCCUACAAUGCCAGGCAUAAGAAGCCCAUGAAUUUUGCAUAUAUCUUUAGUACUUUAAUUUAUUGAAUUACAUUUCUCCACUUCUUUGAGCCACUUAGUCAAUUACACUUCAUUCUGCUGCCUCGUCUGGUUCUAGAAGCUGUCUGUUCACAAAGACCAUAACUAAGUCAGUUUUUCCCAGACGAGGCAACAGCCGCAAAUCAUCUGAAAGUGAAAUGACUGUGGAAUUUGAGGUUUAAUUGUUUUUAAGCCAUCUUGAUUAUGUUUAUUAAAAUAGAAGGUCUUGUCAAGUUAGACCUCUCUCUAUUUCUGUCUGUCUUUCUCCUCACCUCCCUCACUGACUUUUCAGCUCACUGAGGCCCAUCCUUUUAUUGCCUGAUUUUAUACAGUUGGAUGAGAAACACAUACUGGGCAGUGGCCACAGCCCCAUCAACUGAAAGGAAUAUGAUGGGAUCAGAAGUCCUCUUAAUGAAAAACUGUAUCUUUAAUUCCUGUGGAAUUUUAAAACAUGUGCAGUGCAAUCUAUAAAUGGCCAAAUAAAAAAAGAGCAAAUAAACAUAAGAUGUUACUGUGAUCUGGUAUAAAGCCUAUAUGGCAUAGCUGAGUUUCUACCCUGCCCUAACUCCACUUAUCUUGAAGAAAAAGGAUGCCUGUGAUCAAAAUUUUUCUUUGCAAACCAGACUAGCUGAAUUUCUACCCUGCUCUGACUCCACUUAUCUUGAAGAGAAAGGAUGCCUGUGAUCAAAAGUUUCCUUUGUAACCAGACCAGUUGAAACUGGUUAAAACCAAGAUAGCAGACCAAACGAUGUCAAAAGACUUUAGGCUUCAUUACGAUCUCAUUUCCAUGCUAAAUGACACUUCCAACAGUGCCAUGACAGUUGAUAUGUGCCAUGACAGCAACCAGAAUAAGCCAGAAAAGGACAAAAAGGAAGGCAGCACUCUGGUUCCAGGAAGUUCAUCACCUGUAUUAGUCUGUUUUCAUGCUGCUGAUAAAGACACACCAGAGACUGGGUAAUUUAUAAAGUAAAAGAGGUUUAAUGAACUUACAGUUCCAUGUGGCUGAGAAGGCUUCACAAUCAUGGUGGAGGGCGAGGGCGAAAGGCACUUCUUACAUGACAGCAGCUAGAUGGAGUUAAAGAGCCAAACAAAAGGGCUUUACCUUUAUAAACCCAUUACAGACUUAAUCACUACCAUGAGAACAGCAUGGGGAAAACUGCUCCCAUGAUUCAAUUAUCUCCCACUGGGUCCCUCCCACAACACGUGGGAAUUAUGGGAGCUACAAUUCAAGAUGAGAUUUGGGUGGGGACACAGCCAAACAAUAUCACCACCCAUUUCUGGAAAAAGACAUAGACAUUCUUCCUCUCAUGUUUAAUGUCCAACACCUUCAUCAGAAAACCCUAUAUUUUAACCCAUUCACUCCUCACUAGUCCAGGAGGAGUCAUGCUCCUGUUUCUCAGUUCCAUGGUGAUUGAGUAAAGCCUGCACUGCUUGACACUCACUUUCAGUUUUGUAUAUUGGCUUUCUGACACCAAACAGAGAGACCCCAUCCUUGGGGAGACCAGCUUUGUGGGUAACAGUUUAUCAUGUUUACAGUGAUUUUUUUUUUCGUAAUUUCUAGAACUGUUAAAAGAAAGCUUUAACACAAUAUCUUCUUACACAAUUGAAUAAGGAAAGUGGGCCUGCUCCUGAGCAUUGUAGGAGGUAAAACUCUAUGUUUUGCUCCUGAUUACUUUGGAGCUUUUUCUCACUCAGCUCUGUCUGCCUUUCUAUUGCCUUUAUUUGUUUACAUGCCUAACUUUAUCUUUCCA
This 7325-nucleotide long non-coding RNA is filed under the name Homo sapiens (human). Its description in RNAcentral is "HSALNT0232245". Lineage: Eukaryota; Metazoa; Chordata; Mammalia; Primates; Hominidae. The record is from RNAcentral.